This 520-nucleotide long non-coding RNA is filed under the name Olea europaea subsp. europaea. Lineage: Eukaryota; Viridiplantae; Streptophyta; Magnoliopsida; Lamiales; Oleaceae. The record is from RNAcentral.
CUGGAUCAUAGUAGUCUGCGAUGUCUGGCUCGCUCGUUGGAGAAGGGUCUCGCCUGCAUGUAGGAGCCUGCUUUGGUGAUAAGUACUAUUCGGAUGGUGGUGCACUGAAUGUCGGGCGAAAAGCGGGUGCAUCUGAUCUCAUUGUACUAGUCGUAGGUGCGUCUAAUCUCAUGGUGUUCUGUACUACGACAUCUGAAUCGCGGGAGAUUGACCUGCUUGCUGUAGGGACAUCAUCCUCUGCAUUUUGCAUGCAGUUUCCAAGGCCCAUGCCAUCCAUGUCUCUCUGUAUAUGCUCUUUGACCUUAUUGUGUGUAGGAGCUGUGAUAGAAGGACUAGGUGAAGGUGUAUGCGUAGGAGUCUUACUCACAGAAGGUCCUUCUCCAAAGAGCUUAAAAACCAAGUCCUCAAUAGCAAAUCUCAUGGUAGAUCCAACUUUCAUUCCAUGGUCCUUCUUAAAGUGAUCAAUCAACAUAUGCUUGACACCAUGUCGCUCUGAGCUGAUCUCAGCCAACAACCCCUG